GCGUAUCUGUCAAAUGUACGGUUAAAGGGUUAUUUCGCAUUUUUUGCCGAUACGCACACAUUGGAAUUUCGCUAACUCCUCCGAAGGCUUUCGUUCCACCAGCACUACAUUUGCUCAGGCCAAUCUACACCCCAUGGCCAUUGAAAGUUGUACAAAUCAUGACGCUGCACCCCACGGUUUAGGUUCUAGGGGGCGCCAAAGAUAACCCACAAAUCCACAUUCUUAAAAAUCUUAUAACUUUUUAUUUUUGUCCUCAUUGGCCUCCAAGUUUUCUAGGAUGAUGCAAUGUCCAGCCAUCAACACAUUUGUGAAGGAAUUUUUACUCCCCGAAAGAGCGCCCCCCCAUGGCAGGAGAAAAAAGUCCAUUUUUUCUUGUCCCCUAAGGUGAAAAUACACAUUGUUGAGUGUCACGCCUGUACGCUUUGUCAAAAUGACACAAAAAUUGACACACACAUGUAUCUCAAUAAGAUGUACGAAAAAGUCAAUGCGCGCGUAUCUGUCAAAUGUACGGUUAAAGGGCUAUUUUGCAUUUUUUGCCGAUUCGCACACAUUGGAAUGUGGCUAACUCCUCCUAAGGCUUUCGUCCCACUGACACCAAAUUUGCUCAGGUAAAUCUACACCCCAUGGCCAUUCAAAGUUGUAAAAAUCAUGACGCUGCACCCCACGGUUUACGUUCAAGGGGGCGCCAAAGAUGACCCAAAUAUCCACAUUCUUAAAAGAAUCCACAUCCCCCCCCCCCCAUCCCCCAUCCCACAUCCCCCAUGGCAGGAGAAAAAGUCAAGUUUUUCCUUCCCAUCACUCAAUGGCUCAAUCGCAUCGCUCUCCCGGCAACACCGUAACGAGGAGCAACUUGCCGUUUGGAUAUAUCCUAGCUGUGUUUGUGCCCUCACUCAUGGUCCAGACUUUUUUCAAAUAGGACAUGUAGUUUGUCUGCAGCGAGUGUUUUGGUAGAAACUGCGCCUCCCAUUCACUAUAAUGGGAAAUGACCACAGACAAGUGCGCACACCAUCUUUGGACCUUGAGUGUGACGCGAUCGGGAGGGGGAGGCGGUCGCGCUGGGGGCGGCGCGACGCGGCUCGGGCCCGACAGUGCCCCACCGGGGCCCUAGUUCUUUCUUUCUUU
Molecule: non-coding RNA, 1122 nt
Organism: Xyrichtys novacula (pearly razorfish)
Lineage: Eukaryota; Metazoa; Chordata; Actinopteri; Labriformes; Labridae
Source: the annotation of a GenBank genome assembly